CUUCCGAUCUCGCUCUUGCGCCGAAGAUGAACGGGGCUAAGCGAUUUGUCGAAGCUGUGGGAUGUAAAAAUGAAUCGGUAGGGGAGCGUUCCGCCUUAGAAAGAAGUACCCGCGCGAGCAGGGUUGGACGAAGCGGAAGCGAGAAUGUCGGCUUGAGUAACGAAAACAUUGGUGAGAAUCUAAUGCCCCGAAAACCUAAGGAUUCCUCCGCAAGGUUCGUCCACGGAGGGUAAGUCAGGACCUAAGAUCAGGCCGAAAGGCGUAGUCGAUGGACAACAGGUUAAUAUUCCUGUACUGCCCCUUGUUGGUCCCGAGGGA
This is a long non-coding RNA of Lathyrus oleraceus (garden pea), 318 nucleotides long. RefSeq lists it as uncharacterized. NCBI's taxonomy places the organism in Eukaryota, Viridiplantae, Streptophyta, Magnoliopsida, Fabales, Fabaceae. The transcript is spliced from 2 exons. The record is from RefSeq and is a predicted model, not a curated record.